CCAAGAUUGGGCCACUGCACUCCAGUCUGGGUGAUAGAGUGAGACCCUAUCUCAAAGAAAAAAAAGUAGGCAAGGAACUUUAUUGGUGAUAUUCUUCACAAACCCUCAGCAGUUUCCUGCACCUGCAACUCCUCAGGUACUAUAGUCAUGUUUUCUUGUAUUCCAGUGUCUGGAAUUUAUUCCUUCUGGUGGAUUCUUGGUCUUGCUGACUUCAAGAAUGAAGCCGCGGACACUCGCGAAAUCCUUGCUCUGAUCUGCCUGACUUCAGAGUGUAAACUCUUAAAUACACAGUCUGCUGCUUCUCCAGAUCAAGGUACAACAGCAGGUUCUUUUCUGAUUCCGCAAAGUCCUGCAUGGGGUGGAGGCAGAGACAGAAGAGAAUGUAAACACUGGGUUCCACCCCCUGGAAAUUAAGGGAAGACCCCUUACCCAGAUAGGGACUGAUUGGAGAGGUGGAAGGGAACAAGGUGAAAGGUAGGGGUCCUGGUAAGAGAAAGCAGGGGGGCCUGAGAACACAGAGGAAAGUGGUUGAGAAAUGUUCUCUCAUAUGCUCUUUAAGAAAAGCAAAUGCCCCUUUUUUUUUGUCCCAGAAAGCAUGUCUCUUUAUCUAGAAUUAGGCCAUGUGCCCACUCCUGAAACAGUAGCUAUGACCAAGGGAUGAGAUUUUGCCCAAUACCUCAGGCCUGGCUUGCAUGUGCCAUUCCUAGGGCCAGGAGUGGAGUCAGAAUCCUCAAAUGACAUGCUACACAUGAGGAGGGUGUCCACACUCAAGUAAAAUUGGGAUGGAUACCAAGAGAAGGGGUUACGUUCCCUUCUCACAAUGCCUCUGUUCAAGUACUACGGGCUUUUAGAAUUUGCCAUACUGUACCCCCACCCCAGCCUACCUCACCCUGGUCUCUCUGAGGAGGGGCCUUUUACUUCUCUGAAUGACCUGUGGUACUGAUUUUCUGCAUUUUUCAAAUUUUCAAUCAUCCUACUUGUUAAUUUACUUUCUGCAGAUGCUGUCAUCUCCCUGCUCUGCUAUGUCUUCAUUCCUCACAGUACCUGAACACAAAGCUGUGGUGUUAUCAGACUUUAACUGAAGGUUUGGGGUCCCGAAGAGGAUUAUAACAUAGCACAAAACUCAAAAUUGAACAUUGAUGAUGUCAUUAUGAAUAUCCAAAAGUUCCCUGACCAAACUCAUUUUAAGGACUGCGGUAAUUUAAAAGUAUGUCUACAAAUUAGUUGAUACUUCUUUAUUCAAAAGGUGGAGCCGAAUUCCCCUCCCCUUGAAUGUGGACUAGGAGUUAGUGACUCACUUUCAACAAAUAAUGUGUGGCAGAAGUGAAGAUAUUUGACUUCUGAGGCUAGGUCAUACAAAGGAUAAAGUUUCUACCUGGCUCGUUCUCUUUAGGAUCACCCUGGGGGAAGCCAGCUACCAUGUAAUGAAGGUACUCAAGCAGCCCUGGGAAAGAACCAUGUGAAAAGAAACUGGGGCCUCCCACCAAUAGCCAGCAUCAACUUGCCAGCCAUGCAUGCCAUCUUGGAAAGAUAUCUCCUAGUUCCAGCUAAGACUUUAGCCGCCUAUAACCCCAGCUGACAUCUUGUUUGCAACCUCAUGAGAAGAUCCUUAGUUGAGGGGCAACCAAACUCCUGACCCACAGAAAUUGUGAGAGAUAAUAAUGCUUAUUGCUAUUUUAAGCUGCAAAGUUUUGGAGUAAUUUGCUAUGUAGCAACAGAUAAGUAAUACAGAGAGUCUCUCAUGGGCCGUUUUCUUCCGUC
This 1761-nucleotide long non-coding RNA is filed under the name Homo sapiens (human). Its description in RNAcentral is "HSALNT0359535". The record is from RNAcentral. Lineage: Eukaryota; Metazoa; Chordata; Mammalia; Primates; Hominidae.